RNAcentral lists this long non-coding RNA (4483 nucleotides) under Musa acuminata (dwarf banana). RNAcentral describes it as "long non-coding RNA (MACU_LNC001654)". The record is from RNAcentral. Lineage: Eukaryota; Viridiplantae; Streptophyta; Magnoliopsida; Zingiberales; Musaceae.
UGGAAGGGGUCGUUUGGAAGAGCGUUCCCAUCUCAUACUUGACAUUCAGAAUGUGAAGCCAACUCAUGUUUUCAAUGCUGCUGGUGUGACUGGUAGACCUAAUGUUGACUGGUGCGAAUCUCAUAAGCAGGAGACAAUUCGCACGAAUGUUGUGGGAACUCUGAAUUUGGCAGAUGUCUGUAGGGAUCAUGACCUGUUACUAAUGAAUUAUGCUACCGGUUGUAUUUUUGAGUAUGAUGCUAAACAUCCUGAAAGGUCGGGCAUUGGAUUCAAGGAGGAAGACAAGCCAAACUUUAUUGGAUCCUUCUAUUCAAAAACUAAAGCAAUGGUACUUUUUGUUGCAUUUAAAGAAAUUAUCUUUUCAAACUUAUGUUAUUUUGUGUAUUCUUAAAAGCUAACAAAUUAGUUAUUGUUGGGCCAUGAUGCAGGUUGAAGAGCUUUUGAGGGAAUAUGAGAAUGUCUGUACCCUUAGAGUUCGAAUGCCAAUAUCUUCUGAUCUUAGCAAUCCACGUAACUUCAUUACCAAAAUCGCUCGUUAUGACAAAGUUGUGAACAUUCCAAAUAGCAUGACGGUUUUAGACGAACUUCUCCCCAUUUCAAUUGAGAUGGCAAAGAGAAAUUGCAGAGGAAUAUGGAACUUUACCAAUCCUGGUGUGGUAAGCCACAAUGAGAUCCUAGAGAUGUACAGGAGCUACAUUGAUCCCAGUUUUAAGUGGACCAAUUUUACAUUGGAAGAACAGGCUAAAGUCAUAGUUGCACCUCGAAGCAACAAUGAGAUGGAUGCUACAAAAUUAAAGAGAGAGUUUCCUGAGUUGUUGUCCAUCAAAGAUUCUCUCAUCAAGUUUGUUUUUGAGCCAAACAAGAAGGUCCUUUCUCACUGAUAGGCUUCCUCAAUGUCACAGUUUCCCUAGACUUUGGAACUAAGCAGUUGACCCUUAGUAUUUUAAUCAUUAAUGUCAUUCAAUACUUUGCAGUAUGACUAUCAUAAUACAAACUCUGCAUCAGGAAUACUUUUUUCUAGGCGGGAGGAAAAACCUGAUUAAUUUUAUUAGGUAGUCUGCCUUGUUCUUGUUUAGGUUCUUUACAAGAGGCUAUUAUUAUUUGUCUUCUAAAUUUGUACUGUCCACUCUAUGUGGCAUGUAGUAGCUUCAUUCUGUUAAUGCAUCCAUUUAUUGUUUACAUUCUGCAUUCUAUUUGUCAUUUUUUUUCUUCUUCUACUUUGAUAAUAUUUCUAUGGAAUCUAUCUUUCGAUCUUUGUGCGCAAUGGAGUCCAAAUCAUGGAUAUCCAGUUUGAUUAUUUUUUUGAUUGUGUACAUUUUGUUUAUUAUUUUGAAUCAUUUUUUACUAGUUGAUCCUGGUGAAUUGCCAAGUAGGCAUGGAGCUAAUCUUCAGGAAGGCACCAAGUUGCCUUUCAGUAACAGGAACUCUGUUUUGACAAGAGGUUGACAUUGGAUGUUACUGUGAGAUCUCAGUCGUCAUCAGCACAAGCACUGACAUGUCGUGAUCGUGGGAUUGGACGGUGGGCUACGAGGGGGAGAAGGGAGAGGAGGGCUCGACUAUCGACUGUCGAGGGGGAGUUCUUUAUUAAAUUAAAGGAAAUAUGAAUACUAUCUAUCUCUAAAAUAUAAAAACAUGAACACCUUCCAAAAAAGCUAAAAAAGAAGAGAUUUUGAAUAAAAAUUAUCCUUUUUACUAUGCAUUAUAUAUAUAUAAAUAAAAUCUCCAUCGAAGAAGGCAACCGAUGAUAAAUAUAUUGUUGAAAGAAAUCUGCUGAACUUCUCAAGUUUCCAUUAGAAAAUAUCAGACUGGAGGAGAAUGACUUCAUUCCCCCGUAGUCGAGGCAGCAACAGCGCAAUUCACACCUGACAGGUUCGUGGAUGAAAGGAUUGAGCCGUGUUUGGCUCUCUUUCUCGUCCCAAUAAGGCUUUUAAUGAUGAACGAACGAACCAAGAAGUUGAUCGCGCCUUUUCCAGAAGAUGGCGAGAAGCGUGCUUCUGAUGGGACGCACGUGCUUCGCAUGUGAUUGUUUAGAGGUUCCUUUCACCUCCUCAAAUAUGUUCUUAUCUCUUUAACCGCCUCAUUAAUCACAUUUCUCAUCGCCGCUCUGCAUUCCCCCCGUUCCUUUUCUCAUCGCCGCUUCGCAUCCGGUGGUCCUUACUCGUUCUCCUGUCGGAAUAAGCCUUCCCCGUUCCUCCCUCCUCCUGCUCACCAUCUCGCGUAAGCUUUUCCUCUCCCUCCCUAUCCAUCUGUUGUUGGUACUUGUUUUCGAGUUGUUGCGAUGGGCAUUGCAUUACCUUCAGAUCUGGAUUUGGUUCUCGUCGGGUUUUCUCGAAUGACACGUGACCUGGACCGGAUCGGUUAUUUUCUUGUGCAUUCUGUGUUUGAUGAAUUGGCUGACCGUUUAAUGGAAUAUAGAUUUGAUGAUUUCGUUGUUGAUCCGUGGAGCCUUUUUGAUUCGAUAUUUCUGGUUCUGAUGACUCGAGAACUAUUCUUUGAUUCACAUCACAUUGAUAGAUAACUGGUUGUAUUUGUUGCUCUGUUCAAGAUAUACGGAUUUUGGUUCCUUAUUUUCGCGAUUCCGGUUGGUGUAUCUUGUUAUCGUCAAAUUCAAGCGCAGGUGGAAACCCCUAAUCGACCAAAAAUGUUCGACUUUUACCUUUUCCCCAGAAUAUUUUACGAUCCCGUUUGCCCUCUGUGAGCAAUUUAUGGUCUUCUUUUCUGUAAUUAUUGCUUCAGAUUAGUUUGCAAGUUGCUUGCUGCCAUGUGUGGACAAUGUGCGAUCUUUGUUUGGCAGAGUUCAGUCUGUAGAUGGCGCCGACGUACAAACCCAAAAACAUACUCAUAACCGGAGCGGCAGGCUUCAUUGCGUCCCAUGUCGCCAACCGCCUCGUUUGUAACUACCCCCAGUACAAGAUCGUGGUUCUCGACAAGCUUGAUUACUGCUCCAACCUCAAUAACCUCAACCCAUCACGCUCCUCUCCCAACUUCAAGUUUGUCGAGGAUGAUAUUAGGAGCGCUGACCUCAUCAACGACCUCCUGAUCACCGAAUCGAUUGAUACCAUCAUGCAUUUUGCAGCCCAGACCCAUGUUGAUAAUUCUUUUGGUAACUCCUUUGAGUUCACCAAGAACAACAUCUACGGCACCCACGUUCUCCUGGAUGCCUGCAACGUCACUGGUCGGGUUAGGAGGUUUAUCUAUGUUAGCACUGAUGAGGUCUAUGGAGAGACAGAUGAGGAUGCCACGGUUGGCAAACACGAGGGGUCUCAACUUCUGCCAACCAACCCAUACUCGGCAACAAAAGCCGGGGCUGAGAUGCUUGUUAUGGCUUAUGGAAAGUCAUACGGCUUGCCUGUGAUCACUACCCGAGGAAACAAUGUGUAUGGGCCAUUUCAAUUUCCGGAGAAGCUGAUCCCAAAAUUUAUUCUUUUGGCCAUGAGAGGGCAGCCACUUCCGAUUUACGGUGAUGGCUCCAAUGCUAGAAGCUUUUUGUACUGUGAGGAUGUUGCAGAGGCUUUUGAUGUCAUCCUCCACAGAGGAGAAGUUGGGCAUGUUUAUAAUAUCGGCACAAAGAUAGAAAGGAGAGUGAUUGAUGUGGCGAAGGACAUCUGUGCACUUUUUUCACUAGACCCAGAUAAGGUCGUUCAGUUUGUGGAGAAUCGGCCUUUCAAUGACCAGAGGUACUUUUUGGAUUAUCAGAAGCUGAAGAACCUGGGAUGGUCGGAGCGGACUGCAUGGGAUGAUGGACUCAAGAAGACGAUGGAGUGGUAUAUGAGCCAUCCAGAUUGGUGGGGAGAUGUUUCAGGAGCACUUUUGGCUCAUCCACGGAUGUUGAUGAUGCCUGGUAUUGAAAGGCAUAUUGAUGGUUCUGAAGAAACCAAGUCCAUGGCUUCUCAGUCGAUGACCUCUAAUAGUCAGAAUGGGAUGGUGCUUCCUGCCUCAAAAAGCAGUGUGAUGCCACCUAAGAAAUCAUAUUUGAAGUUCUUGAUCUAUGGUAGAACUGGAUGGAUAGGGUGCCUUCUUGGCAAGAUAUGCGAGAAGCAGGGCAUACCAUAUGAGUAUGGAAGGGGGCGUUUGGAAGAGCGUUCCCAUAUCAUACUGGACAUUCAGAACGUGAAGCCAACUCAUGUUUUCAAUGCUGCUGGUGUGACUGGUAGACCUAAUGUUGACUGGUGCGAAUCUCAUAAGCAGGAGACAAUUCGGUCGAUUGUCGUGGGAACUCUGACUUUAGCGGAUGUUUGUAGGGAGCAUGACCUGUUACUGAUGAAUUAUGCUACCGGUUGUAUUUUCGAGCAUGAUGCUAAACAUCCUGAAGUGUCGGGCACUGGAUUCACGGUGGAAGACAAUCCAAACUUUAUUGGAUCCUUCUAUUCGAAAACUAAAGCAAUGGUAAUUUUUGCCUUGCAUUUAAUGAAAUUAUCUUUUCUAACUUAAUGUUUUUUUGCAUAUUCUUAAAAGCUAACAAAUUAGUUAUUGUUGGUCUGUG